Molecule: ribosomal RNA, 486 nt
Filed under: uncultured bacterium
Lineage: Bacteria
Description: bacterial SSU rRNA
Rfam family: Bacterial small subunit ribosomal RNA
Source: RNAcentral
ACUCCUACGGGGAGGCAGCAGGUGGGGGGAAUGAGGGUUGCACAAUGGGGGAAACCCUGAUGCAGCCAUGCCGCGUGUGUGAAGAAGGCCUUCGGGUUGUAAAGCACUUUCAGUAGGGAGGAAGGUAGUGUAGUUAACACCUGCACUAUUUGACGUUACCUACAGAAGAAGCACCGGCUAACUCCGUGCCAGCAGCCGCGGUAAUACGGAGGGUGCGAGCGUUAAUCGGAAUUACUGGGCGUAAAGCGCAUGCAGGCGGCCUGUUAAGUCAGAUGUGAAAGCCCGGGGCUUAACCUCGGAAUUGCAUUUGAAACUGGCAGGCUAGAGUCUUGUAGAGGGGGGUAGAAUUUGCAGGGUGUAGCGGUGAAAUGCAGUAGAGAUCUGAAGGAAAUACCAAGUGGCGAAGGCGGCCCCCCUGGACAAAGACCUGACAGCUCAGAUGCGAAAGCGUGGGGAGCAAACAGGAUUAGAUACCCUGGUAGGAUA